UACAGAGGCCUCGAGCGUUAGGCGGAAUCACUGGGCUUAAAGCGUGUGUAGGCGGACCUCUAAGUACCUUGUGAAAUCCCACGGCUUACCCGUGGAAUGGCUGGGUAUACUGGUCGUCUUGAGCCUUCUAGGGGCUACCGGAACAAAUGGUGGAGCGGUGAAAUGCGUAGAUAUCAGGAGGAACACCGGUGGCGAAGGCGGAUCUCUGGGCCUUACCUGACGCUGAGGCGCGAAAGCUAGGGGAGCGAACAGG
RNAcentral lists this ribosomal RNA (253 nucleotides) under uncultured bacterium. Its description in RNAcentral is "partial 16S ribosomal RNA". It matches the Rfam family "Bacterial small subunit ribosomal RNA", at positions 524 to 776 of the family's 1533-position model. The record is from RNAcentral.